RNAcentral lists this ribosomal RNA (501 nucleotides) under uncultured bacterium. RNAcentral describes it as "bacterial SSU rRNA". It matches the Rfam family "Bacterial small subunit ribosomal RNA", at positions 28 to 516 of the family's 1533-position model. The record is from RNAcentral.
GAUGAACGCUAGCUACAGGCUUAACACAUGCAAGUCGAGGGGAAACGAUAGAGAAAGCUUGCUUUUUCUAGGCGUCGACCGGCGCACGGGUGAGUAACGCGUAUCCAACCUGCCCAUCACUUGGGGAUAACCUUGCGAAAGUAAGACUAAUACCCAAUGACGUCUCUAGAAGACAUCUGAAGGAGAUUAAAGAUUUAUCGGUGAUGGAUGGGGAUGCGUCUGAUUAGCUUGUUGGCGGGGUAACGGCCCACCAAGGCGACGAUCAGUAGGGGUUCUGAGAGGAAGGCCCCCCACAUUGGAACUGAGACACGGUCCAAACUCCUACGGGAGGCAGCAGUGAGGAAUAUUGGUCAAUGGACGAGAGUCUGAACCAGCCAAGUAGCGUGCAGGAUGACGGCCCUAUGGGUUGUAAACUGCUUUUAUAAGGGAAUAAAGUGAGUCUCGUGAGACUUUUUGCAUGUACCUUAUGAAUAAGGACCGGCUAAUUCCGUGCCAGCAGCC